CAGUGCCUGAACUCUGGAACUACAAAGAAGGGCGGAAAGCAACUAUGAAGGAAGUAGUCCAAUACAUAUUCAAGCAGUGGAAGAUCAAUAAGAGGAAGAGAUGACCAACCAAAUAACCCGAGGUAACAUCCCAUUUAUUAGAUUAAUAUAACUUCAACAAACUAUCAACAAGGGCGUGUAAGAUGCGUGCCCAGUCAAUGCCGUCGUUUCCCGAUUAUGAAUUGCCGGACGUGGCGUCGUAUGCUUUAGGCUUCUCAUCUAAUGUGGAGCAUCCAUAUUGCACCUGGAUUUAAUGCUGUAUUAUAAGCUGUUGUAUCACUGUUGUAAGAGAACCAUUGCUGCAUAAACAGCUCUUCCCUUGUUUCUGAAGUAGUUUAACAUCUUAAUAGUCUCUUGUCAUGUAGUUACAGUUAUUAGUUGCAGGCGGUAAAUUGCACUAGCAGCCCCAACUUCGUGUGUGUGUGUGUGUGUGUUUAAAGUCAUUUAUCUACUUUUACAAAUUGGAUGGAUUGAGAGUAUGAGAUGGAGAAUUGAUGGGUACAUAGUGCAUGAGCAUACAAAUGCACCGUGUGCAGGUUGGUAAAUUUCUGUUUAACAGUAGGCAAUGGUUUACAAUGUCGUGCCUCCAUUUAACUUUCAGGAUGUGAAACUACUUGUCCGAGGAUCAAAGUGAAACUUUUUCAGAGACUACCGCUCAAGAUCAUAAUUACGUUGAUGAAUGGUGGUUCUUGUCCCCUUUUCUUUGUUAGUUUAAAAUUCUUUAGAAUUCUCUAUUUCAAAACUUACGUAUUUUUUGAGGAGUGAAGCUUUUGGGGAAUUAUAUAUAUAUUCCCCUACUAGCACUAAGCAAAUGAUAUUUUAUUAGAUAAAACUUUAUUAUAUAAUACGAAACUUUGCGUCCAUCGCAACCAAAUACGCCUACAGUUAUCAUAGACGCAUCGAUGAAGGGACUUGGCUUCUGAAUUAGGUGCUGUGUGCCAAGCGUGAAUCCGACCUCAUAAUUCUAGCUCGGGUCCGAAGCUUUGUUUUUGAUCGGGCCGGCCCGUUUUGUAGAUUUACUACUUGGCCCGGCUCAUCCCGAUCCGGCCCCGCUCCAGUGUUUAAAGCUGUCUCGACCAAAGAGUCAAGAGAGGUUGUUGUCGACGCUUCAUUUCCCCUUCACUCUCUCUCUCUCUCUCUCUCUCUCUCUCUCUCUCUCUACGGCUACGCCCUAUAAAAAAUCUCGGGAGCGAAGUUGGGGAAGCUUUUGAGGUUUCGAAGGUCGGCCUCGUCUUCUCAGGUGUGCUCUUAACACGACCCAACAACAACAACAACAACAACAACAACAACAACAACAACAACAACAGUAACAGUAACAGUAACAGUGAAAAUUUUUAGGUGAAAAUUCAUGUGGCUCACCGAAUGUGCUCUUUGUGAAGUGUUUAAUCUGUCUUUGUGUAUAGAAAAGGGGGUUUUUUUUUCUCAUUGAAAGAUGAUUGCUCACACCUAUAUGUGAAAUUUUGUUUAAGAAAACAUGUAUUGGCGAUAGAAGGCCAGUUCCCCGAGUAUCUUCCGGAUUGCAAUGAAUGCAAGAAGCUUGAUAUUUAGUCGUAAAGUAAUCUGAAAUGGUUUCCUUCUUGCUUGGAUUUGCAUAUGUUGGUUCCGUGAUGAAUUUCCCAGUUCUUAUGAAGCUUUUUGUGUAAAAAAAAAUGUUUUUUUUUUUUUUCUGUUCAGAAAUGCCGAGUCUUCGGCGCGUGGCACGGGAGAAUGCUCGAAGGAUUUUUGAGGAGAAGGAGAAGCUGAGAUUAGAGUUGGAGAAUGCUCGAAGGAUUUUUGAGGAGAAUGAGAAGCUGAGGCUAGAGUUGGAGAAUGUUCAAAGGAUUUUUGAGGAGAAUGAGAAGCUGAUGCUAGAGUUGGAUGCAAAGAGAAAAGAACUAAAUUCGCGAUGCAAGCAACGAGACAAGUUAGAGGCUGAAAAUGACGGCGAGAAGAAACAGCUUGAUGACGAGAAGCAAAAGGUAAUGGGUUCAUAUAAAGCACGCACUCUGAAUUAAAGAGUACAUUGUUAGGUACCCAUGUCUUUUUGAUUAUUAUUUGUCGAAUGGUAGGAACUAUCGUGUUUGAGGAUGUUUUAAUUUAACAAAAGAUUAGCAUGAACUUAGAGAGUUCAUGAGAAAACACAAAAAAUUGGAGCAAUUAACUUACAAUAGAUAGAUAAUUAUAACAAAUUAACCGAAGAUGACCACUGUGUCCCACUACUUGUGAUGGUUGCAUUGACACCUUCGUUGACUGUAAGUGAGGUUUUGUGAUCUUGGCUGAAGAAACCGGAAUAUCAACUGUUAAUGCUCUUGUUUGGUUGAUUGCGUCCAUUUUGUAGAUAUUCUUCAAUAAUUUGAUUUAAACUAAUCCAUAUGUCAGUAUUAAUUUUCUUUGCCACUUCUUUUACUAUUAGACGCUUCCUAUGAGGUGCAAAAGCACCAACUUCCCUAUUGUUUUAGAUCUUUUGCGUUAACUUCCUUUCGUUUCUAAAGAAGCAAUUGCUUAAACUCUAUGCUAGCCUUUGUUUUUAGCAUUUCAAGUAGCUUACUAUGUGGUGGCGAGUAAUAAACAACGGCAUGCGUGUGUUGUUUUAUGUUUGAUAUACAUGUGCAUGGAUAUUUACGCAAUUUCUUGUUAAUUUAAUCAACUUUUCUAUACAUAGAACACAGCUAUAAAAUAAUGAUACUUCCAAACUUGGUUCUAAGACAUUUAUUACCUUCAUUCACCUGUAGCAGUUCUAUUUACUAGGUAGUAUAUUUAACAGCCUUACCCUAUUUAUUCUCUCAGACUGCAAUAGAGAACACUUCACGGGAGUUGCCAUCUAUGGUCCAAAAGAAGGCCGAUGAAGAUGUUCGGAAGCAUAUUCAGGCUCAGAAGGUAUGUAAUAUUCUCCAAAACCAUCAAUAUCUUUUCCCGAGAUUGUUCAUGCUUAUGUAUUCAAAAUUGAAAUUUUCAGAGGGAAAAAGAAGCUGCCAUCUCAAAAAUAAUAGAAUUGGAGAGGCAAUUGGAUCAAAAACAACAAUUGGAGCUCGAAAAAGAGCAGUUAGAGGGGACGCUUCGAGUGAUGAAGCGUUUGGAAGGAGAAGAUGAUGAAGAUAUCCACAAAAAGAUGGAAAAUUUGAGCGGCAAGCUGGAGAGCGAAAAGCUGCGUCUGGCAAAACUUUGUAUAGAUCUCAUAAGCAAGGAGCGCAAAAGCAAUGACGAGCUAGGAGAAGCUCGAAAGGAAUUGAUUAUGGUUGGAGUUUUUCUUUUCCUUUAUUUUCUUCUGAGAAUUACUCUUGCUUUCAAGCAAGAUUGCAUGGAACAACCUCAUGUGUAUAAUUCUCUCUUUUUUGAUUAAUUCUUUGUUGUUUUUCUCUUUUUUGACUGAUUGUUUAUCUCGGACAGGGUUCCGAUGACUUGCUGAGUGGCCGCACUAAUAUUGGAAUCAAAAGGAUGGGGGAACUUGAUGAAAAGCCUUUUCAAAAUGCAUGCAAGAGAAAAUAUCAGGACGAAGAAGCUGCCAUUAAAGCUGCAGAGUUGUGCUCAAAUUGGCAAGGGCAAUUCAAGGAACCCGGGUGGCAUCCAUACAAGAUCGUUGAGUGUCGUAGAGAAACUAAGGUAUCAGAUAUAAUCAUUCUAUUACAUUUUCAGUACGCGCGCUUUGUCUCGUUCAAACAACAUGAACUGUCUCUUAGAGCGAGAAUACUUACAAGAUUUCACCUUGAAUCUCCCGUCUCUCUCUCUCUCUCUCUCUUGCAUAUGAUAACUUGUGGAAUGUUUUGUCUAUUUCCUUUUUCACUACUUCAUUCCUGUGGCUUGAUGGUGCAGGAAGUUGUUCCGAAGUUGAAGGAACUGUGGUUCGAAUGGGGGGAUGAUGUCUACAAUGCGGUCAAAACAGCUUUGAUUGAGCUGAAUGAGUACAACGCUAGCGGAAGGUAUACAGUGCCUGAACUCUGGAACUACAAAGAAGGGCGGAAAGCAACUACGAAGGAAGUAAUCCGAUACAUAUUUGAGCAGUGGAAGAUCAAUAAGAGGAAGAGAUGACGAACCGGCUAUGAAUUGCCAGACAUGGCGUCGAAUGCCUCUACGUUUCUCAUCUAAUGUGGAGCAACUAUAUAUUGUACCUGGAUUUAAUGCUGUAUUAUAAGCUUUUGUAUCACUGUUGUAAGAGAACCAUUGCUGCAUAAGCAGCUCUUCC
This 4198-nucleotide long non-coding RNA is filed under the name Ananas comosus (pineapple). Its description in RNAcentral is "long non-coding RNA (ACOM_LNC038456)". Lineage: Eukaryota; Viridiplantae; Streptophyta; Magnoliopsida; Poales; Bromeliaceae. The record is from RNAcentral.